GAUGAUCGCUGGCGGCAUGCCUAAUACAUGCAAGUCGAACGAGAGGAAGGAAAGCUUGCUUUUCUGAAUCUAGUGGCGAACGGGUGAGUAACACGUAGGUAACCUGCCCAUGUGCCCGGGAUAACUUCUGGAAACGGAUGCUAAAACCGGAUAGGUAGCAGACAAGCAUUUGACUGCUAUUAAAGUGGCUAAGGCCAUGAACAUGGAUGGACCUGCGGUGCAUUAGCUAGUUGGUGAGGUAACGGCCCACCAAGGCGACGAUGCAUAGCCGGCCUGGGAGGGCGGACGGCCACAUUGGAACUGAGACACGGCCCAAACUCCUACGGGAGGCAGCAGUAGGGAAUUUUCGUCAAUGGGGGGAACCCUGAACGAGCAAUGCCGCGUGAGUGAGGAAGGUCUUCGGAUCGUAAAGCUCUGUUGUAAGAGAAAAACGACAUUCAUAGGGAAUGAUGAGUGAGUGAUGGUAUCUUACCAGAAAGUCACGGCUAACUACGUGCCAGCAGCCGCCGUAA
RNAcentral lists this ribosomal RNA (512 nucleotides) under uncultured bacterium. Its description in RNAcentral is "partial 16S ribosomal RNA". It matches the Rfam family "Bacterial small subunit ribosomal RNA", at positions 28 to 523 of the family's 1533-position model. The record is from RNAcentral.